AGAGUUCACUCUUCCUCUCUCAAACUGUACCAAAUCAGAAUCCCCUCCCCUUUUUCAGAACAACAACACCUAAACCGUACAGAAGCAUCACGAAAUAACGCCGGUGAUGGAUUUUCAAACAAUGACAAAUAAAUAAUGGUAAAUAAUCGAACGCAUCAUGCAUAAAGAGAAAGUGAUAACCUGUGAAUCCGUGGACGCGACGUCGACUUGGUCGAUUUGGCCUUCCUCUGAACUGCCUCCGCCUCCUUUUCUUUGCCGUCGUCCCUUCAUCUUAGGGUUUCAAACGGUACUCAAAAGUCCAAAGAAGAAAAAUUCCAGAAGUGUUUUUUGGUGCUCAGAACCGAGUUGUCCUGUUUGAUGCUAUUUUCCGGAAACGUGAAAAAUUAUUGAAGACUCAAGAGUGGUUUGGUUCCGGUGUUGAUCACAGCUCAGGUUUUAGGUUCGGUUGACAUGGUUGCAGAGGAGCAGGUUGUAAUUUUGGUGAAAUUCGACGCUUCGGUUGUGUCAUUAGCAGCAAGAUGAACAAGAUGGAUUGCUUCUCGUUGAUGAGAACGAACUUGUUCUUCGGCGUGAUCAUUCAUCGUAUUGAACUUAGCAGCCAUAGCAAGCAGUUUAGGAAAGCACGGUUGGCUUUAGACAGUGAACCUUCCAUGUGUCUCAUUUUCUGCAGAGCAUUCCUUGACAGAUAAGUUGAUCCUUAAUCUCCAAAACUGUCUGUCUGAUAGCGUGAAAUAUAAUGAUGUUCUUAUUGUCAAACCAGAUUGCUUUUCAACAACUUUAAUAAUAUUCUCAACUUUCUUUUUUGAAGGGAGCUUGUAUAUUCCUUGGAGAAAGUCAUUUUUGUGGAUGCUGAUCAGAUUAUCAGGACUGACAUGGGAGAACUCUAUGGCAUGGAUUUAAAAGGAAGACCUUUGGCAUAUAUUCCAUUUUGUGAUAACAAUAAGGAUAUGGAUGGAUAUUGUUUUUUGUUUGCCACGUCUGGGACUCUUUCAUGGAUGAUCAAAGAUGGUUUUUCUCAUAGCAGGUUUUGGUUUACAGCAUGUGCAGCCCUUGCACAAGAAAGAUACAAGUCAAUGCAGCUCUCAAGAAGUUCUAGAUGCCUACAAACAACAGUAAAAAGGGGCGCAUCUUAGGCAGAUCAACCAUAAAUCGUAGAACAGAAGUUGCAGCCACAAGGAAUGCUUGGAGUGGUUUUUGAAAUGCUUGUAAAUUGUAUGGAUGUUAGAAAAUUUAGAUGGAAUGUGCAAAGAUUAGAGAUGAUUGUAAUCCCCCUUUUUUGGGACUGCUAUGAAUUUCUGGCCACAAGUUGCUGUUGGUGCCAUAUUCGGCUAACAAUAUUGCCUUGUGAAUUGGUAGGUUCGUCUCGUCACAAUUUCAGCAUUAACACAAUGUUCUAUUUUACUCCUAGGCUCACAAGGGGCGGUCGGACGGACUUGAAGCCAAAGUAGCAAAAAUCAUGCCUCGUAGUUCAUAUCAUGCCGACAUUUACUUACGGAGGACAUACUGAGUUUGGUUUGUGAGCAUAAAGGUUGGAAGCACCUGCUGGCAUGUCCUUUUGCUAUGAGAAGUAUCACCAUCAUAUAUACCAAUAUUUAAGUCGGCAUCAAAUUCUUUUGUCACGUGUAACAAAGACCUUAGUUGAUCUUGAGCUAAUGCCUUUUGUUGGAAAUAUGUACAACGCACACGAGGAUGAAUUCUUAAGCAACUCUUCUAGAACAAGCAGGUCGUAGCAAACAGAUUUGCCACUUGACGUCAUUGUAGCCACAACAACAUUGUUUCAUCAAAAUUUUCUCUACCAACCGCAACAUCUCUCUCUGCAGUAUUUUUGCAAGCUGUUUCUGUAAUCAUAAUAGUAAUAAUAAUCUUCACAUUCCAUCAUUAUCCAUUGGAAGGUCCAUCAAUCUUCCUCCUUUUAGUAUUUGGACUAUGUCAUGUAGCAUAAAAGCUAGUGUAGGAUUGGGACCUUUUUGUAAGAACAACAUGUAAUGUCACAUUUUAGUAUCAAUGCUUAUUCUCAUGGAUAAAUACUAGCAAUGUAUUGAUAUGGAAAUGGAAUUGUUUGUCCUUUUGGAAGAUGACUUUGUAAUUCAUGAUAAUGUUGUAAUGCCAUUCUGAUUUUGAAA
This is a long non-coding RNA of Lathyrus oleraceus (garden pea), 2123 nucleotides long. RefSeq lists it as uncharacterized. The transcript is spliced from 5 exons. Lineage: Eukaryota; Viridiplantae; Streptophyta; Magnoliopsida; Fabales; Fabaceae. The record is from RefSeq and is a predicted model, not a curated record.